GAUGAAGAACGCAGCGAAAUGCGAUAAGUAAUGUGAAUUGCAGAAUUCAGUGAAUCAUCGAAUCUUUGAACGCACAUUGCGCCCGCCAGUAUUCUGGCGGGCAUGUCUGUUCGAGCGUCAUUACAACCCUCAAGCCCCCCGGCUUGGUGUUGGGGACCGGCCACCGGUGCCCUGCUGCUUCCGCGGCAGGCGCACCCGGCCGCCCCCGAAAUGAAUUGGCGGCCCCGUCGCGGCCUCCCUCUGCGUAGUAGCACACAUCUCGCAGCUGGAGCGCGGCGCGGCCACUGCCGUAAAACGCACCAACUUUUUUUACAGUUGACCUCGAAUCAGGUAGGAAUACCCGCUGAACUUAAGCAUAUCAAUAAGCGGAGGA
This 373-nucleotide unclassified non-coding RNA is filed under the name soil metagenome. RNAcentral's name for it is "partial contains 5.8S ribosomal RNA, internal transcribed spacer 2, and large subunit ribosomal RNA". The stretch from base 1 to 120 matches the Rfam family "5.8S ribosomal RNA", at positions 35 to 154 of the family's 154-position model. The record is from RNAcentral.